AUUACUUCCACCUGUCCAACCAAUCCCCGAUCUGCGAUUACUUCCAGGAAGGUAGGCCUCUAGAGGGAGAGUUGUCUCUGGGAAAAAGCCUCCCCCUACAGGGUGACUCCAGGAAGGUAGGCCUCUAGAGGGAGAGUUGUCUCUGGGAAAAAGCCUCCCCCUACAGGGUGACUCCAGGAAGGUAGGCCUCUAGAGGGAGAGUUGUCUCUGGGAAAAAGCCUCCCCCUACAGGGUGACUCCAGGAAGGUAGGCCUCUAGAGGGAGAGUUGUCUCUGGGAAAAAGCCUCCCCCUACAGGGUGACUCCAGGACUGUUCAUGCCUCAAUUCCAUUUCAAUUCAGGAAGUACUCUGUAACUCCACUUCAAAUCAAGGCUUUUCAAUGAAGAAAAAUGUAGAAUUGGAUGUAGAAUUUAAAAGGACUUGAUCCCGAACCUGGUCUGUGUCCAAAAUGUCAGUCUGUUCCCUACAUAGUGCACUACUUUUGACUAGACUUGUCCGGGGCCCAUAAGGCUGUUGUCAAAAGUAGGGGCACUAUGUAGGGGAUAGGGUGCCAUUUGGGAGGGAACAUGUGUUGUAGUUGGGGGAGGGGUUUGUUUAUGUCAGUCAUGUGACUGUUGGGGGAGGGGUUUGUUUAUGUCAGUCAUGUGACUGUUGUUACUUUACUGUAUAUACCUUUGAUUCAUUAGCACUUAAGAGAUGUCGUGUUUUUUUUUGUAUUUUGUUUUGCAUUGUAAUAUUUGUAACAAUGAAAGUAAUAAUAAUAAACAUUUGUUGUUUUUAAAA
This is a long non-coding RNA of Oncorhynchus keta (chum salmon), 783 nucleotides long. RefSeq lists it as uncharacterized. Lineage: Eukaryota; Metazoa; Chordata; Actinopteri; Salmoniformes; Salmonidae. The record is from RefSeq and is a predicted model, not a curated record. The transcript has 2 exons.